This 502-nucleotide ribosomal RNA is filed under the name uncultured bacterium. RNAcentral describes it as "partial 16S ribosomal RNA". It matches the Rfam family "Bacterial small subunit ribosomal RNA", at positions 30 to 523 of the family's 1533-position model. The record is from RNAcentral.
AUUGAACGCUGGCGGCAGGCUUAACACAUGCAAGUCGAGCGAGGUGAUGGUGCUUGCACUAUCACUUAGCGGCGGACGGGUGAGUAAUGCUUAGGAAUCUGCCUAUUAGUGGGGGACAACAUCUCGAAAGGGAUGCUAAUACCGCAUACGUCCUACGGGAGAAAGCAGGGGAUCACUUGUGACCUUGCGCUAAUAGAUGAGCCUAGUCGGAUUAGCUAGUUGGUGGGGUAAAGGCCUACCAAGGCGACGAUCUGUAGCGGGUCUGAGAGGAUGAUCCGACACACUGGGACUGAGACACGGACCAGACUCCUACGGGAGGCAGCAGUGGGGAAUAUUGGACAAUGGGGGGAACCCUGAUCCAGCCAUGCCGCGUGUGUGAAGAAGGCCUUAUGGUUGUAAAGCACUUUAAGCUAGGAGGAGGCUCUUUUGGUUAAUACCCAAGAUGAGUGGACGUUACUCGCAGAAUAAGCACCGGCUAACUCUGUGCCAGCCGCCGCAGUAA